Molecule: ribosomal RNA, 195 nt
Filed under: uncultured Geobacter sp.
Lineage: Bacteria; Pseudomonadati; Thermodesulfobacteriota; Desulfuromonadia; Geobacterales; Geobacteraceae
Description: partial 16S ribosomal RNA
Rfam family: Bacterial small subunit ribosomal RNA
Source: RNAcentral
CCUACGGGAGGCAGCAGUGGGGAAUCUUGCGCAAUGGGCGAAAGCCUGACGCAGCAACGCCGCGUGGGUGAUGGAGGCUUUCGGGCCGUAAAGCCCUGUCGGAUGGAAAGAAACGGCUGGAUGUUAAUACCAUUCAGUCUUGACGGUACCAUCAAAGGAAGUCACGGCUAACUCUGUGCCAGCAGCCGCGGUAAU